UACCAGCACCCCGAGUGGUCGGGACGUUUAUUGGGCCUAAAGCAUCCGUAGCCGGUUCUACAAGUCUUCCGUUAAAUCCACCUGCUUAACAGAUGGGCUGCGGAAGAUACUAUGGAGCUAGGAGGCGGGAGGGGCAAGCGGUACUCGAUGGGUAGGGGUAAAAUCCGUUGAUCCAUUGAAGACCACCAGUGGCGAAGGCGGCUUGCCAGAACGCGCUCGACGGUGAGGGAUGAAAGCUGGGGGAGCAAACCGG
This 253-nucleotide ribosomal RNA is filed under the name uncultured bacterium. RNAcentral's name for it is "partial 16S ribosomal RNA". It matches the Rfam family "Archaeal small subunit ribosomal RNA", at positions 474 to 727 of the family's 1478-position model. The record is from RNAcentral.